GUCCUCAAGCAAAAUUCUCAACUCAUAAUCAAAAUAAAUUCUCCUAAACUUACAAUUCUUAUCGAUAAUAUCUCAGAAUAAUCCAUAGGUAAUCAUACAUUGAGAAUUCAACUAAAAGAACAUAAAAGUUUCAAACAUUCCAAGUUGAGUAUUUAAUCAUGCAAACAUAGGUGUCUUUCCGCAUCUAAGUAACUACCUUUGAUUCAGAAUAUCACAGAGUUUCAUAUCCUCACUAACGAUUCACUCAAAUCACUCGAGGUGUUUAGGGAUAAUAAAUGAAGCACUCAAUAGUCAACGAUGAAAAGUCAUUACCAUAGGCUUACAUGAAAAUCAAAUCUUCACCACUAUAAUUUAAGAUGAUACAUCAAUCAAAAGGUCUUUAGAGGGUUGUAGUGAGGCUUGGUUAGAGGGUGUGGUCACAAACUGAAAGAAAGGGUUAGAAUUGAGGUUGAAUUGAAAAAUUGCCUAACUAGAAAAAGAGUUAAUCUUCACUUGUGUACAACAGAGCUUUUUUUCAGAAUAUGAAAUUAUAGAUAUGUAUACAUAGUUUUUUUUAAGAACAAGUUAAAUAAAAAAACAUAAACUAAUUAUUAAGAACAAGACAUAGCUAAGCAAUUCAUUCAACUUAAAUUUCGACAAAAAUAGGGAUUAAUUUAGGGGAUUGCAACAAUAAUGGGUUAAAGGUUAAUAUUAAGCGUAAUAUAAGAAAUGGUUUGUUAGGCUCAAGGGGGUUUAUUAGGGGUUAAUCAUGGAGGUAGG
This 759-nucleotide long non-coding RNA is filed under the name Gossypium barbadense (sea-island cotton). RNAcentral describes it as "long non-coding RNA (GBAR_LNC008909)". The record is from RNAcentral. Lineage: Eukaryota; Viridiplantae; Streptophyta; Magnoliopsida; Malvales; Malvaceae.